GUGGGGAAUCUUCCGCAAUGGACGAAAGUCUGACGGAGCAACGCCGCGUGAGUGAAGAAGGUUUUCGGAUCGUAAAGCUCUGUCAUCAGGGACGAACGGCCGGUGGAGUGGAAAGCCACCGGAUUGACGGUACCUGAGAAGGAAGCCACGGCUAACUACGUGCCAGCAGCCGCGGUAAUACGUAGGUGGCAAGCGUUGUCCGGAAUUAUUGGGCGUAAAGCGCGCGCAGGUGGGAUCUUAAGUCCAUUUUGAAAGUUCGGAGCUCAACUCCGUGAUGGGAUGGAAACUGGGAUUCUUGAGUACCGGAGAGGAAAGCGGAAUUCCCCGUGUAGCGGUGAAAUGCGUAGAUAUGGGGAGGAACACCAGUGGCGAAGGCGGCUUUCUGGACGGUGUCUGACACUGAGGCGCGAAAGCUAGGGGAGCGAACGGGAUUAGAUACCCCAGUAGUCC
This 450-nucleotide ribosomal RNA is filed under the name uncultured bacterium. RNAcentral describes it as "partial 16S ribosomal RNA". It matches the Rfam family "Bacterial small subunit ribosomal RNA", at positions 354 to 796 of the family's 1533-position model. The record is from RNAcentral.